UGUUGGAUUGUUCACCCAC
Molecule: small nuclear RNA, 19 nt
Filed under: Arabidopsis thaliana (thale cress)
Lineage: Eukaryota; Viridiplantae; Streptophyta; Magnoliopsida; Brassicales; Brassicaceae
Description: snRNA_04318
Source: RNAcentral